Vigna radiata var. radiata (mung bean) is the source of this 792-nucleotide long non-coding RNA. RefSeq lists it as uncharacterized. NCBI's taxonomy places the organism in Eukaryota, Viridiplantae, Streptophyta, Magnoliopsida, Fabales, Fabaceae. The transcript is spliced from 3 exons. The record is from RefSeq and is a predicted model, not a curated record.
UUAAAAAAAAAAAAAAAAAAACUCCCUUUCUUUUCAUUAGUUCAAUUUUUCAUAUAAAUCAUUUUGCUACGAAAAUAAGUUAAUACCGUACAAUCAGUUAUAACUAAUCAUUGAUUAUUCAUUUGUAGGAACGUUGCUACCCUUUAAACACCACUUCGAAGGUGAUGGACAGUUGCUGUACUUCCACAAUUACUAACUGCAUUUAGAAGGUGGAAGCAACUUACCUGAAGUGAUUUAAAGUGGAGGAGGUAUGCUGAGGUGAUCUCCAACGAGCUGAAGGACCUAUUGUGGAGGAGGUCAUUUGAAGCAGGUGAGGUCAUAUUUCUCAUUUGCCCUAAGAUCUUCUUUGUAACACAUUCUAAAAAUGCUUGUUUUUGAAGAUUGAUUUUGGGUGCCCUAAGUUGGGUAUUUGGGAUUAGGGUUGUUUUGUAGGUCUGGACGAAGCAUUAUUGCAUCCUUCCUCCACCCAAUGUCAAUGAAUCAGUGUUCGUCUUGCUCAUGGGGGACCUCGUGUGGUGGUUCGUCAAGAGGAAUGGGUGGCAGCCAUGUGUGCUAUUGUGGAGAGGUUGCCAUAUUAAGAGUGCCAAAAACUGCUAAGAAUGAGGGCAGAUAUUUUUGGGGUUGCCCUAAUUACAAGCGUACUCGAAACGAAGAAGUGCGAGGUUGUGAUUACUUCAAAUGGCACACUGAAGAUUAUAUGGAUGAAAGGGAUAAUACAAUUGGAUGGCAAAGGAGAAAGAUUCUUACUUUGGAAAAAUCAAUUUUAGUUUAUCAAAAAAGGGAGAAGGUGUU